Molecule: ribosomal RNA, 481 nt
Filed under: uncultured soil bacterium
Lineage: Bacteria
Description: bacterial SSU rRNA
Rfam family: Bacterial small subunit ribosomal RNA
Source: RNAcentral
AGGACGAACGCUGGCGGCGUGCUUAACACAUGCAAGUCGAGCGGUAAGGCCCUUUCGGGGGUACACGAGCGGCGAACGGGUGAGUAACACGUGAGUAAUCUGCCCUCCACUUGGGGAUAAGCUUCGGAAACGGGGUCUAAUACCUGAUACGACAACUUCCUGCAUGGGAUGGUUGUGGAAAGUUUUUUCGGUGGGGGAUGUGCUCGCGGCCUAUCAGCUUGUUGGUGGGUAAUGGCCUACAAGACUUCGACGGGUAGCCGGCCUGAGAGGGUGACCGGCCACACUGGGACUGAGACACGGCCCAGACUCCUACGGGAGGCAGCAGUGGGGAAUAUUGGACAAUGGGCGGAAGCCUGAUCCAGCAACGCCGCGUGAGGGAUGGACGGCUUCGGUUGUAAACCUCUUCAGUACGACGAAGCGCCCGUGGUGGUGGUGACGGUAGGUACAGAAGAGCACCGGCAGCUACGCACCAGCACGCCGC